RNAcentral lists this ribosomal RNA (421 nucleotides) under uncultured bacterium. Its description in RNAcentral is "bacterial SSU rRNA". It matches the Rfam family "Bacterial small subunit ribosomal RNA", at positions 355 to 774 of the family's 1533-position model. The record is from RNAcentral.
UAAGGAAUAUUGGUCAAUGGACGCAAGUCUGAACCAGCCAUGCCGCGUGAAGGAUGAAGGUCCUCUGGAUUGUAAACUUCUUUUAUCUGGGACGAAAACGGGAUUUUUAUCUCAAUUGGCGGUACCAGAGGAAUAAGCACCGGCUAACUCCGUGCCAGCAGCCGCGGUAAUACGGAGGGUGCGAGCGUUAUCCGGAUUUACUGGGUUUAAAGGGUGCGUAGGUGGGCUUAUAAGUCAGUGGUGAAAUCUCCGAGCUUAACUUGGAAACUGCCGUUGAUACUAUAGGUCUUGAAUUAUCUGGAGGUAAGCGGAAUAUGUCAUGUAGCGGUGAAAUGCUUAGAUAUGACAUAGAACACCAAUUGCGAAGGCAGCUUACUACAUAUAAAUUGACGCUGAGGCACGAAAGCGUGGGGAUCAAACA